ACGAACGCUGGCGGCGUGCUUAACACAUGCAAGUCGAGCGGUAAGGCCCUUUCGGGGGUACACGAGCGGCGAACGGGUGAGUAACACGUGGGUGACCUGCCCUUAGCUCUGGGGAUAAGCCUGGGAAACUGGGUCUAAUACCGGAUAUGACUCCAUAACGCAUGUUGUGGGGUGAAAGCCUUGUGCGGCUAGGGAUGGGCCCGCGGCCUAUCAGCUUGUUGGUGGGGUGAUGGCCUACCAA
RNAcentral lists this ribosomal RNA (241 nucleotides) under uncultured bacterium. Its description in RNAcentral is "partial 16S ribosomal RNA". It matches the Rfam family "Bacterial small subunit ribosomal RNA", at positions 29 to 271 of the family's 1533-position model. The record is from RNAcentral.